AAGAAGAGUUCUGGAAAGUGAAGGACUUCCUGCAGAGUCAGGUGGGUAGUUGCAUCUCUGGUCCCCUCACAGGCUGUGACCUCCGUUAUCAUCCCCGAGGUCUUCCUGUGUGUGGGGCCAGGAGAGCCUUGUGGGUCUGCGCUUCAGGCGAAGUGACCCUCUGCUCACGACAUGCUGGUGUAACUCCCCGAAGCUUCGUCCUGUGGGAAGAGAAGUUUGCAGGUUUAGGGAGCUUUGUGGAGAUUGGCUGGUGAAGUCUAAGGGGAUGAAGCUCCUUAGAGCUAACCGGAAACUGGGAAGAGGGCAAUGGGACUGGUCGUGCCAAAGAACAAAGGAGGUCAGUGAAGGGCCAGGUCCCCGUUCCCUGGAGGAGUUCUAGCACCAGCAGACUUCCAUGAGAGUAACCCAUGAGGGCAGAAGGCUCUCCCAUAAACUGAGCAUCCCCAACUCCAGAGCAAGAUGGGACUGAGUGGAUCCGAAGCAACGCCCAGAUGGCUUCUUCUGUCGUGGGGUCUGUGUGGAGGUCCUCUGAACCCUCUGGCUGGUUGCCAAGCCUCUGGAGCUCAGUGAUGUGAAUUUGACUCCUGGGGGUUUUGUUGGCUUGACUACAGAUGGACCUUACAUGGCCCUGGGCUUUGGCUUUCAUUGCUUUGGUGAUUAACUGCCUCCAACUUUCCAAAAGUUUGUAGUCCCAUCAUGUCAACCUGUCAUUUGCUUGUACUUGUAUAUGGCCCCUCGUUACCAUGCUUUGGGGUUCAUGCUGAACUUUAUUUCCCCAGGAUCGCCCUCAACCCCCUAGAAGAUGCCAAAAUCAGUACUUCUCACCAGAAGCACUUCAUUCCCCUGCUCUGACCCCCACACCUCUUUUGUCCUCAGACCAUGGCUGCUGUUGGAGGGGGUGGACUGAGCAGACCCACUGGGCACGCUACUGAGGACAGGUGUCUGUGUUUCUUACAGGGAAAGCAGAAGUACACUCUGCCACUGUACCAUGCCAUGAUGGGUGGCAGCGAGAUGGCCCGGACCCUCGCCAAGGAGACCUUUGCAGCCACCGCUUCCCAGCUCCACAGUAACGUGGUCAACUAUGUCCAGCAGAUCCUGGAGCCCAAGGGCAGUUAGAGGCUCACCUGGGUGGUCCCUGCCUUUCUGAAGAAUUGUUCCUUCCCAAAUUCAUGUUCUCAAGUCAGCGUCCCGGAGUUUCUGUUCUCUGGGUUUGGGUCUCUGCCGUGGUGGCAGCUUCUGGUCUAGAGAGUCCUGAGAGUCCUAAAAGGGCCUCCCAUGCUCCCCUUAGACCAGGCUGCAGAGCAUAAAAUGUCAUUC
RNAcentral lists this long non-coding RNA (1317 nucleotides) under Rattus norvegicus (Norway rat). Its description in RNAcentral is "long non-coding RNA NONRATT008741". The record is from RNAcentral. Lineage: Eukaryota; Metazoa; Chordata; Mammalia; Rodentia; Muridae.